RNAcentral lists this ribosomal RNA (549 nucleotides) under uncultured Glomeromycotina. RNAcentral's name for it is "SSU rRNA". It matches the Rfam family "Eukaryotic small subunit ribosomal RNA", at positions 548 to 1098 of the family's 1831-position model. The record is from RNAcentral. Lineage: Eukaryota; Fungi; Glomeromycota.
UUGGAGGGCAAGUCUGGUGCCAGCAGCCGCGGUAAUUCCAGCUCUAAUAGCGUAUAUUAAAGUUGUUGCAGUUAAAAAGCUCGUAGUUGAAUUUCGGGAUCAAUUUAUCGGUCGUGCCUACGGUAUGAACUGGUACAAUUGGUUUCUCCCUUCUGACGAAGCAUGAUGUCAUUAAUUUGGUGUCGUGGGGAAUCAGGACUGUUACUUUGAAAAAAUUAGAGUGUUUAAAGCAAGCAUUAGCUUGAAUACAUUAGCAUGGAAUAAUGAAAUAGGACGUUUGAUCCUAUUUCGUUGGUUUCUAGGAUCGACGUAAUGAUUAAUAGGGAUAGUUGGGGGCAUUAGUAUUCAAUUGUCAGAGGUGAAAUUCUUGGAUUUAUUGAAGACUAACUACUGCGAAAGCAUUUGCCAAGGAUGUUUUCAUUAAUCAAGAACGAAAGUUAGGGGAUCGAAGACGAUCAGAUACCGUCGUAGUCUUAACCAUAAACUAUGCCGACUAGGGACCGGAUGAUGUUAAUUUUUUAAUGACUCAUUCGGCGCCUUACGGGAAAC